RNAcentral lists this ribosomal RNA (253 nucleotides) under uncultured bacterium. RNAcentral describes it as "partial 16S ribosomal RNA". It matches the Rfam family "Bacterial small subunit ribosomal RNA", at positions 524 to 776 of the family's 1533-position model. The record is from RNAcentral.
UACAGAGGGUGCAAGCGUUAAUCGGACUGACUGGGCGUAAAGGGCGUGUAGGCGGUUAAUGAAGUCAGAUGUGAAAUGGCAGGGCUUAACCUUGUCAGGUCAUUUGAAACUGGUUAACUAGAGGUUAGGAGAGAGAAGUGGAAUUUCCGGUGUAGCGGUGAAAUGCGUAGAUAUCGGAAGGAACAUCAGUGGCGAAGGCGACUUCUUGGCCUAAAACUGACGCUGAGGCGCGAAGGCGUGGGGAGCAAACAGG